AGAGGACGCGUGGUCUGGAUACAGCUUGGCGCUGGCGCAGGUGCUGAGUGUGUUUGAGGAGAUUUCACUUAAAAGCACACUAGAUCAGAUCAAGGAGAAACACAACCUGCAGACAGCCAAGAAGAAACAGAUCUGAAAUGUUGCGUUUGGGAAUUUCUUUGGAGUGCUGGCCUUGUCUCAGUCCAUACGACUACACAAGGAGCCACAGGUGCUGUUGGAGUGUGUUAAGCUGUUACAGAGUCUGGCUCAGUACAGGGAUCACCUGAGAGACCUGCCCAGGAAGACCAUGGUGGACAUCCUGAGUGAGGU
Long non-coding RNA from Electrophorus electricus (electric eel), 309 nucleotides. RefSeq lists it as uncharacterized. The record is from RefSeq and is a predicted model, not a curated record. Lineage: Eukaryota; Metazoa; Chordata; Actinopteri; Gymnotiformes; Gymnotidae.